RNAcentral lists this ribosomal RNA (448 nucleotides) under uncultured bacterium. Its description in RNAcentral is "partial 16S ribosomal RNA". It matches the Rfam family "Bacterial small subunit ribosomal RNA", at positions 29 to 523 of the family's 1533-position model. The record is from RNAcentral.
AACGAACGCUGGCGGCAUGCCUAACACAUGCAAGUCGAACGAGAUCUUCGGGUCUAGUGGCGCACGGGUGCGUAACGCGUGGGAAUCUGCCCUUUGGUUCGGAAUAACAGUUGGAGACGACUGCUAAUACCGGAUGAUGACGAAAGUCCAAAGAUUUAUCGCCAGAGGAUGAGCCCGCGUAGGAUUAGCUAGUUGGUGUGGUAAAGGCGCACCAAGGCGACGAUCCUUAGCUGUCUGAGAGGAUGAUCAGCCACACUGGGACUGAGACACGGCCCAGACUCCUACGGGAGGAAGCAGUGGGGAAUAUUGGACAAUGGGCGAAAGCCUGAUCCAGCAAUGCCGCGUGAGUGAUGAAGGCCUUAGGGUUGUAAAGCUCUUUUACCCGGGAUGAUAAUGACAGUACCGGGAGAAUAAGCUCCGGCUAACUCCGUGCCAGCCGCCGCCGUAA